AUUGAACGCUGGCGGCAUGCCUUACACAUGCAAGUCGAACGGCAGCACAGUAUUAGGUCUCGCGGCCGGUGGGCGACUGGUGGAUGAUUCAGGGGAACGUCGCAAGCUGUUGGGUCUAGGGGGACGAAGGAGGGAUACAUACGCCAUUAGCGCAGACGAUCUACGGGUGAAAGCGGGGGAUCUUCGGCUCUUGCACGAGUCAAUGACCGGAUGUCGGAUUAGCUAGUUGGCGGGGUAAAGGCCCACCAAGGCGACGAUCCGUAGCUGGUCUGAGAGGACGAUCAGCCACACUGGAACUGAGACACGGUCCAGACUCCUACGGGAGGCAGCAGUGGGGAAUUUUGGACAAUGGGGGCAAGCCUGAUCCAGCCAUGCCGCGUGCGGGAAGAAGGCCUUCGGGUUGUAAAGCGCUUUUGUUCGGGAAGAAAAGCUGUGGGCUAAUACCCCGCGGGGAUGACGGUACCGGAAGAAUAAGCACCGGCUAACUUCGUG
RNAcentral lists this ribosomal RNA (492 nucleotides) under uncultured bacterium. RNAcentral describes it as "partial 16S ribosomal RNA". It matches the Rfam family "Bacterial small subunit ribosomal RNA", at positions 29 to 507 of the family's 1533-position model. The record is from RNAcentral.